Molecule: ribosomal RNA, 253 nt
Filed under: uncultured bacterium
Lineage: Bacteria
Description: partial 16S ribosomal RNA
Rfam family: Bacterial small subunit ribosomal RNA
Source: RNAcentral
UACGGAAGGGGCGAGCGUUGUUCGGAUUUACUGGGCGUAAAGGGCGCGUAGGCGGCAAUUCAAGUCAGCUGUGAAAUCUCCGGGCUUAACUCGGAACGGUCAGCUGAUACUGCUUUGCUAGAGUGCAGAAGGGGCAAUCGGAAUUCUUGGUGUAGCGGUGAAAUGCGUAGAUAUCAAGAGGAACACCUGAGGUGAAGACGGGUUGCUGGGCUGACACUGACGCUGAGGCGCGAAAGCUAGGGUAGCAAACGGG